CCUACGUGUGUCUGCAGUGGGGAAUAUUGGACAAUGGGCGAAAGCCUGAUCCAGCCAUGCCGCGUGUGUGAAGAAGGCCUUCGGGUUGUAAAGCACUUUCAGUGGGGAAGAAAGCCUUGGGGCUAAUACCCUCGAGGAAGGACAUCACCCACAGAAGAAGCACCGGCUAACUCCGUGCCAGCAGCCGCGGUAAUACGGAGGGUGCGAGCGUUAAUCGGAAUUACUGGGCGUAAAGCGCGCGUAGGCGGUCUGAUAAGCCGGUUGUGAAAGCCCCGGGCUCAACCUGGGAACGGCAUCCGGAACUGUCAGGCUAGAGUGCAGGAGAGGAAGGUAGAAUUCCCGGUGUAGCGGUGAAAUGCGUAGAGAUCGGGAGGAAUACCAGUGGCGAAGGCGGCCUUCUGGACUGACACUGACGCUGAGGUGCGAAAGCGUGGGUAGCAAACAGGAUUAGAUACCCCAGUAGUC
This 465-nucleotide ribosomal RNA is filed under the name Vreelandella stevensii. RNAcentral describes it as "partial 16S ribosomal RNA". It matches the Rfam family "Bacterial small subunit ribosomal RNA", at positions 338 to 795 of the family's 1533-position model. Lineage: Bacteria; Pseudomonadati; Pseudomonadota; Gammaproteobacteria; Oceanospirillales; Halomonadaceae. The record is from RNAcentral.